CUUCAACCUUACCGAUGACUGAGAUGUUCUUCGAAAAAUUGCACAAUCGAGGUGUCAAUAUAUGACACGAAGGGUGACAAUCACCCGGUCCGCGAAUAAUACAAAGCCACUCAAAACGAGGUCUGUUUAAUCUGGCUAUGACACCGCUGAUGGCACUUCCAUUUCCAGUAGAGGAAAACUGAUAAACAUUGAUAAUGAAAAGGCAGGAGAGGCUAUUGAAGGCAGCGUUUCUUAUACGGAUAAAGAAGGCAAUGACUUUAGCUUAUCAUACACAGCUGACGA
Molecule: long non-coding RNA, 282 nt
Organism: Leptidea sinapis
Lineage: Eukaryota; Metazoa; Arthropoda; Insecta; Lepidoptera; Pieridae
Exons: 3
Source: RefSeq, a predicted model, not a curated record